UGCCGAGCUGCAUACUUCCUUGCAUACCCAUACUUGAUCCCCUGGUCGGACAGAGAUAUGGAAUGUAAAGAAGUAUGUAGAGCGGUG
Non-coding RNA from Caenorhabditis japonica, 87 nucleotides. The record is from Rfam. NCBI's taxonomy places the organism in Eukaryota, Metazoa, Nematoda, Chromadorea, Rhabditida, Rhabditidae.